RNAcentral lists this ribosomal RNA (669 nucleotides) under Salmonella enterica. Its description in RNAcentral is "partial 23S ribosomal RNA". It matches the Rfam family "Bacterial large subunit ribosomal RNA", at positions 711 to 1292 of the family's 2925-position model. The record is from RNAcentral. Lineage: Bacteria; Pseudomonadati; Pseudomonadota; Gammaproteobacteria; Enterobacterales; Enterobacteriaceae. RNAcentral also lists the same sequence under 3 other names.
AGACCCGAAACCCGGUGAUCUAGCCAUGGGCAGGUUGAAGGUUGGGUAACACUAACUGGAGGACCGAACCGACUAAUGUUGAAAAAUUAGCGGAUGACCUGUGGCUGGGGGUGAAAGGCCAAUCAAACCGGGAGAUAGCUGGUUCUCCCCGAAAGCUAUUUAGGUAGCGCCUCGUGAAUUCAUCUCCGGGGGUAGAGCACUGUUUCGGCUAGGGGGCCAUCCCGGCUUACCAACCCGAUGCAAACUGCGAAUACCGGAGAAUGUUAUCACGGGAGACACACGGCGGGUGCUAACGUCCGUCGUGAAGAGGGAAACAACCCAGACCGCCAGCUAAGGUCCCAAAGUCAUGGUUAAGUGGGAAACGAUGUGGGAAGGCCCAGACAGCCAGGAUGUUGGCUUAGAAGCAGCCAUCAUUUAAAGAAAGCGUAAUAGCUCACUGGUCGAGUCGGCCUGCGCGGAAGAUGUAACGGGGCUAAACCAUGCACCGAAGCUGCGGCAGCGAACGUAUCACCCAAGACAACUUUACGGAGUUGACGAUUGACGGAGCGAAGCGACGUCAAAGCGUUCAUUAAAGUCGAGUUGGCUUAGGGAUACGUUCGUUGGGUAGGGGAGCGUUCUGUAAGCCUGUGAAGGUGUGUCGUGAGGCAUGCUGGAGGUAUCAGAAGUGCG